UACGGAGGGGGCAAGCGUUAUUCGGAAUUAUUGGGCGUAAAGGGCGCGUAGGCGGCUUGACAAGUCAAAGGUGAAAUCCCUCGGCUCAACUGAGGAACUGCCUUUGAAACUGUCUGGCUUGAGGCCGGGAGAGGGUAGCGGAAUUCCCAGUGUAGCGGUGAAAUGCGUAGAUAUUGGGAGGAACACCAGUGGCGAAGGCGGCUACCUGGACCGGUUCUGACGCUGAGGCGCGAAAGCGUGGGUAGCAAACAGG
Molecule: ribosomal RNA, 253 nt
Filed under: uncultured bacterium
Lineage: Bacteria
Description: partial 16S ribosomal RNA
Rfam family: Bacterial small subunit ribosomal RNA
Source: RNAcentral